This is a long non-coding RNA of Bradysia coprophila, 148 nucleotides long. The record is from RefSeq and is a predicted model, not a curated record. Lineage: Eukaryota; Metazoa; Arthropoda; Insecta; Diptera; Sciaridae.
UGCAAAAAAAAUUAAAAUACACCCGAUGAACUUACGUUAGAAAUUUGUUUCUGUUUUCAACGCUAUUCAAUCCACAAAUACAAUUCAAUACAAUCCAUAUGAAAUCACAUUAAAACAUAGCUCGAUUACACAUACACUUAUGCGCGCG